AGUGGCGGACGGGUGAGUAACGCGUGAGAAUCUGCCUUCAGGUUCGGGACAACCACUGGAAACGGUGGCUAAUACCGAAUGUGCAGCAAUGUGAAAUAUUUAUAGCCUGAAGAUGAGCUCGCGUCUGAUUAGCUAGUAGGUGUGGUAAUAGCGCACCUAGGCGACGAUCAGUAGCUGGUCUGAGAGGAUGAUCAGCCACACUGGGACUGAGACACGGCCCAGACUCCUACGGGAGGCAGCAGUGGGGAAUUUUCCGCAAUGGGCGAAAGCCUGACGGAGCAAUACCGCGUGAGGGAGGAAGGCUCUUGGGUUGUAAACCUCUUUUCUCAGGGAAGAAAAAAAUGACGGUACUUGAGGAAUAAGCAUCGGCUAACUCCGUGCCAGCAGCCGCGGUAAUACGGAGGAUGCAAGCGUUAUCCGGAAUGAUUGGGCGUAAAGCGUCCGCAGGUGGCGAUGUAAGUCUGCUGUUAAAGAGUCUGGCUCAACCAGAUAAAGGCAGUGGAAACUACAUGGCUAGAGUGCGUUCGGGGCAGAGGGAAUUCCUGGUGUAGCGGUGAAAUGCGUAGAGAUCAGGAAGAACACCGGUAGCGAAAGCGCUCUGCUAGGCCGCAACUGACACUGAGGGACGAAAGCUAGGGGAGCGAAUGGGAUUAGAUACCCCAGUAGUCCUAGCCGUAAACGAUGGAUACUAGGCGUGGCUUGUAUCGACCCGAGCCGUGCCGUAGCUAACGCGUUAAGUAUCCCGCCUGGGGAGUACGCAGGCAACUGUGAAACUCAAAGGAAUUGACGGGGGCCCGCACAAGCGGUGGAGUAUGUGGUUUAAUUCGAUGCAACGGGAAGAACCUUACCAAGGCUUGACAUGUCGCGAAUCUUGAUGAAA
RNAcentral lists this ribosomal RNA (880 nucleotides) under uncultured Tolypothrichaceae cyanobacterium. RNAcentral describes it as "bacterial SSU rRNA". It matches the Rfam family "Bacterial small subunit ribosomal RNA", at positions 94 to 1006 of the family's 1533-position model. Lineage: Bacteria; Bacillati; Cyanobacteriota; Cyanophyceae; Nostocales; Tolypothrichaceae. The record is from RNAcentral.